RNAcentral lists this ribosomal RNA (1009 nucleotides) under uncultured Bifidobacterium sp. RNAcentral's name for it is "bacterial SSU rRNA". It matches the Rfam family "Bacterial small subunit ribosomal RNA", at positions 497 to 1502 of the family's 1533-position model. Lineage: Bacteria; Bacillati; Actinomycetota; Actinomycetes; Bifidobacteriales; Bifidobacteriaceae. The record is from RNAcentral.
UCGAUUGUCCCAGCCGCCGCGGUAAUACGUAGGGUGCAGGCGUUAUCCGGAAUUAUUGGGCGUAAAGGGCUCGUAGGCGGUUCGUCGCGUCCGGUGUGAAAGUCCAUCGCUUAACGGUGGAUCCGCGCCGGGUACGGGCGGGCUUGAGUGCGGUAGGGGAGACUGGAAUUCCCGGUGUAACGGUGGAAUGUGUAGAUAUCGGGGAGAACACCAAUGGCGAAGGCAGGUCUCUGGGCCGUUACUGACGCUGAGGAGCGAAAGCGUGGGGAGCGAACAGGAUUAGAUACCCUGGUAGUCCACGCCGUAAACGGUGGAUGCUGGAUGUGGGGCCCGUUCCACGGGUUCCGUGUCGGAGCUAUCGCGUUAAGCAUCCCGCCUGGGGAGUACGGCCGCAAGGCUAAAACUCAAAGAAAUUGACGGGGGCCCGCACAAGCGGCGGAGCAUGCGGAUUAAUUCGAUGCAACGCGAAGAACCUUACCUGGGCUUGACAUGUUCCCGACGAUCCCAGAGAUGGGGUUUCCCUUCGGGGCGGGUUCACAGGUGGUGCAUGGUCGUCGUCAGCUCGUGUCGUGAGAUGUUGGGUUAAGUCCCGCAACGAGCGCAACCCUCGCCCCGUGUUGCCAGCGGAUUAUGCCGGGAACUCACGGGGGACCGCCGGGGUUAACUCGGAGGAAGGUGGGGAUGACGUCAGAUCAUCAUGCCCCUUACGUCCAGGGCUUCACGCAUGCUACAAUGGCCGGUACAACGGGAUGCGACAGUGCGAGCUGGAGCGGAUCCCUGAAAACCGGUCUCAGUUCGGAUCGCAGUCUGCAACUCGACUGCGUGAAGGCGGAGUCGCUAGUAAUCGCGAAUCAGCAACGUCGCGGUGAGUGCGUUCCCGGGCCUUGUACACACCGCCCGUCAAGUCAUGAAAGUGGGCAGCACCCGAAGCCGGUGGCCUAACCCCUUGCGGGAGGGAGCCGUCUAAGGUGAGGCUCGUGAUUGGGACUAAGUCGUAACAAGGUAACCA